GUGCAUGUGACUUAGUGGUAGAGUGCUUGCCUGGCAUGUUCAUGGCCCUGAGUUUGAUCCUCAGCAUCACA
Molecule: non-coding RNA, 71 nt
Organism: Ictidomys tridecemlineatus (thirteen-lined ground squirrel)
Lineage: Eukaryota; Metazoa; Chordata; Mammalia; Rodentia; Sciuridae
Source: Rfam